Molecule: ribosomal RNA, 469 nt
Filed under: uncultured bacterium
Lineage: Bacteria
Description: partial 16S ribosomal RNA
Rfam family: Bacterial small subunit ribosomal RNA
Source: RNAcentral
GACGAACGCUGGCGGCGUGCUUAACACAUGCAAGUCGAACGAUGAAGCACCAGCUUGCUGGUGUGGAUUAGUGGCGAACGGGUGAGUAACACGUGAGUAACCUGCCCCUCACUCUGGGAUAAGCCUGGGAAACUGGGUCUAAUACUGGAUACGACCGAUCUCCGCAUGGAGGGUUGGUGGAAAGUUUUUGUGGUGGGGGAUGGACUCGCGGCCUAUCAGCUUGUUGGUGGGGUAGUGGCCUACCAAGGCGACGACGGGUAGCCGGCCUGAGAGGGCGACCGGCCACACUGGGACUGAGACACGGCCCAGACUCCUACGGGAGGCAGCAGUGGGGAAUAUUGCACAAUGGGCGAAAGCCUGAUGCAGCGACGCCGCGUGAGGGAUGACGGCCUUCGGGUUGUAAACCUCUUUCACCAGGGACGAAGCUAACGUGACGGUACCUGGAGAAGAAGCACCGGCUAACUACGUG